UACGUAGGUGGCAAGCGUUGUCCGGAUUUACUGGGCGUAAAGGAUGCGUAGGCGGACAUUUAAGUCAGAUGUGAAAUACCCGAGCUUAACUUGGGUGCUGCAUUUGAAACUGGGUGUCUAGAGUGCAGGAGAGGUAAGUGAAUUCCUAGUGUAGCGGUGAAAAUGCGUAGAGAUUAGGAAGAACACCAGUGGCGAAGGCGACUUACUGGACUGUAACUGACGCUGAGGCAUGAAAGCGUGGGGAGCAAACAGG
RNAcentral lists this ribosomal RNA (253 nucleotides) under uncultured bacterium. RNAcentral's name for it is "partial 16S ribosomal RNA". It matches the Rfam family "Bacterial small subunit ribosomal RNA", at positions 524 to 776 of the family's 1533-position model. The record is from RNAcentral.